ACGUCUCCAUAGCCUUUUCGACCCUGUCCAAUCAGGAGCUCAUUGGCAGUGACGGAGGCCUCCAAGCAGGUGCUAAAAUGGCGCCGCCACGGGGGUUUGAGAGCGAAGUAGCAGAUGGGUCGAAUUAUAGGAGUCAAGGAGGAGUUUCAGUUCAACUUUUUGAUUCUGCAAGGGAGCUAAUUGCAGCUUAUGCAUGGAGCUUUUCGAAAUGGAGGAGACGGGGUUGGAGGCUUUGAAAAAUGUGGAGGCUGAGUGGGAUUAGAGGAUUAGAAGAGAUGGGUUUUUGAAAUCUGUUGCACCAAUUGGGAGUAUUUUGCUGUAU
Molecule: long non-coding RNA, 322 nt
Organism: Malus domestica (apple)
Lineage: Eukaryota; Viridiplantae; Streptophyta; Magnoliopsida; Rosales; Rosaceae
Source: RefSeq, a predicted model, not a curated record